RNAcentral lists this ribosomal RNA (472 nucleotides) under uncultured bacterium. Its description in RNAcentral is "bacterial SSU rRNA". It matches the Rfam family "Bacterial small subunit ribosomal RNA", at positions 29 to 507 of the family's 1533-position model. The record is from RNAcentral.
AGUUAACGUUGGCGGCGUGCCUAACACAUGCAAGUCGAACGCGUCCUAAGGGCAACUUUAGGAUGAGUGGCGAACGGGUGAGUAUCACGUGGGUAAUCUUCCUUCAAGUGGGGAAUAAGCUCUCGAAAGGGAGUCUAAUACCGCAUGACAUUCCGGGACACAAGUCCCGUAAUCAAAGCCGCAAGGCGCUUGAAGAUGAGCCUGCGUCCUAUUAGCUAGUUGGUGGGGUAACGGCCUACCAAGGCUCAGAUGGGUAGCCGGCCUGAGAGGGUGAACGGCCACACUGGGACUGAGACACGGCCCAGACUCCUACGGGAGGCAGCAGUGAGGAAUUUUGCGCAAUGGGGGAAACCCUGACGCAGCGACGCCGCGUGGAGGAUGAAGGCCUUCGGGUCGUAAACUCCUGUCAGAGGUGAAGAAUGCCCGCAAGGGUUUGACGGUAACCUCAGAGGAAGCCCCGGCUAACUACGUG